AUGUUGUGGCGAAGGCGAACGAAUCUAAUAUCGAAAUCUAUAGUUAUUUUAGUUUAUUUUCCAUGUUCGAUUUUCUUUGUGAUGGUAACCACAACUUUAGCUACCAAAUAACAGCAGCUUAAUGACCAAACAUUGUUGGUGAAUGAAAAAAGUUUCUCUCUAAACUCAAGUUAUUGGUACUUCCGUAAGCAGUUGAUGAUAGUGUUGAUCAAGUGUGAUAUAUACUGUUGUUGCAUUCCCAACAUUAAGCAUGCAGCAAACCUUGCAACAGGCAAACAAAGAUUUAUAGACUGAAUGAGAACUAUCUGGUUUUCUUUCCAAAACUAAAAGGACAGUAACAUGGUGAACUAAAGUUAUUUGUUUGAUAACCCAUUGGUUACCUUAAAUUUCCCUCUUUGACUUUGGGCCCGCUCUUGAUUUGAGAUUAAUCUUGUGCAGUGCAGUCCAUUGUACCUGACGAGAGAUUAGCGACGACUGACUGACUUGCUGUCAUUCAGCAGCAAUACUGCUUACUUGCGUGCCGUCGCUCCGAGGCAUGGGGGAGUUGAGCCUGCUCCAGCUACGCGUCCAGCAUCAUUUGACUACCCAACCGACUUGUACUACCCCUGCUCUCAACACAGCACGGAAUUUUCAUCUUCAGAUUGUUUGACCGGUGUUCGAUGUGUUAUGCCGUUUCCUUGAGGACGACGAGAUGGUGAUAUUGGGGACAAGAUAAAUAAGAUGACUUAUUAUUGUGUUUUUUUUUUUUACAGGUUCUAAACUACAGGUUUCUAAAUUUGCAUGACAGACUUUAUAAGAAGUCAUGUCCUUGGCUACCCUUUUCGCUUCCUUAAAUGGGCCCUCUUGAUUUGAGGGUAACUCCUUCGCUGCUUAUCAUGGACUUCAUCCAUUGGUGAAAACUGACGAGAGCUGAAAACUGACGAGAGACUGCCGUAAUUCAAGACUGAUUAGUUGUGUAGUUGGAUAAAUUACAAGUGCAUAUCUGGGCUCCCUUCUUUUCUGUGGC
Molecule: long non-coding RNA, 1006 nt
Organism: Daphnia pulicaria
Lineage: Eukaryota; Metazoa; Arthropoda; Branchiopoda; Diplostraca; Daphniidae
Exons: 5
Source: RefSeq, a predicted model, not a curated record